Molecule: non-coding RNA, 413 nt
Organism: Pelobates cultripes (western spadefoot toad)
Lineage: Eukaryota; Metazoa; Chordata; Amphibia; Anura; Pelobatidae
Source: the annotation of a GenBank genome assembly
UUAUGGACUUGUAUUGGACCAUGCUGGCCCUUUAAGAACCAUCUGGGGACAUAUUGAGACUUUGUGUGACAAUGCCCCUUUAAGACUAUGUCCCCAGACCUUUAAAAUACUUUGUCUAUGGCUUUCUCCCACUUGGUUCAGUAAAUGGAGAUUACUGAACCAAGUACCACACAGGAGGGCCACCCAGAAGUGGAAGUGUGCAGGCAAUUUACCUCCCAGACUGGGAGUCUGCUGUAGGUAAAUUGCCAACCGCUGGGUGGCCGCAGUUCGUGCAAGCGAACACGUGGCGGCGGCCAUCUUUGUUCAUUCGAACGGGGGCAGCAGUAUGUGUAGCCAAAUUCAUGGAACUGAAAUCGGCUACACGUUUCAACGAACACAUCAUGAAGUUUCGGCUCAUGUUUGUGGGAUUGGAG